GACGAACGCUGGCGGCGUGCUUAACACAUGCAAGUCGAACGGAAAGGCCCUGCUUUUGUUGGGUGCUCGAGUGGCGAACGGGUGAGUAACACGUGAGUAACCUGCCCUUGACUUUGGGAUAACUUCAGGAAACUGGGGCUAAUACCGGAUAGGAGCUCCUGCUGCAUGGUGGGGGUUGGAAAGUUUCGGCGGUUGGGGAUGGACUCGCGGCUUAUCAGCUUGUUUGUGGGGUAGUGGCUUACCAAGGCUUUGACGGGUAGCCGGCCUGAGAGGGUGACCGGCCACAUUGGGACUGAGAUACGGACCAGACUCCUACGGGAGGCAGCAGUGGGGAAUAUUGCACAAUGGGGGGAAGCCUGAUGCAGCAACGCCGGGUGCGGGAUGACGGCCUUCGGGUUGUAAACCGCUUUCGCCUGUGACGAAGCGUGAGUGACGGUAAUGGGUAAAGAAGCACCGGCUAACUACGUG
Molecule: ribosomal RNA, 468 nt
Filed under: uncultured bacterium
Lineage: Bacteria
Description: partial 16S ribosomal RNA
Rfam family: Bacterial small subunit ribosomal RNA
Source: RNAcentral